GCGAAAUUGGGCCAGCGAUUUGAACCGAACUGAAAUUUUUCUAAUUCUAUAGCUAUCGUUUGGUUCGGGGUUAAGAAAAAACUAGUUAUUCCAGGAAGGUGGGGUUAAAAUAUUUUUGUAUUUGGUUAGGAGUUGGAGUUAGUCCAGGAUAGUGAAAAAUAGUGUUUGGUUGAAGUAAGUGGGAUAAGAAAGAUAGUGGGUUAUUAUGAAUAGAAAAUAGUGUUUGGUUGGAGUUUGGUGGAAUUAGGUGGAAUUAGCUAACCCGGAAUAAUUUAUUUGAGGUGGGGUUAGCUAACCCACCCAUUUUUUGGAGUGUUUGGAGAUAAUAUGGGGGUUAAGGGGUUAUUCCACUCCUUAACCCCAACCAAACAAA
Molecule: long non-coding RNA, 373 nt
Filed under: Ananas comosus (pineapple)
Lineage: Eukaryota; Viridiplantae; Streptophyta; Magnoliopsida; Poales; Bromeliaceae
Description: long non-coding RNA (ACOM_LNC029854)
Source: RNAcentral